RNAcentral lists this ribosomal RNA (2296 nucleotides) under Salmonella enterica subsp. enterica. RNAcentral describes it as "partial 23S ribosomal RNA". It matches the Rfam family "Bacterial large subunit ribosomal RNA", at positions 743 to 2925 of the family's 2925-position model. The record is from RNAcentral. Lineage: Bacteria; Pseudomonadati; Pseudomonadota; Gammaproteobacteria; Enterobacterales; Enterobacteriaceae.
GGUUGAAGGUUGGGUAACACUAACUGGAGGACCGAACCGACUAAUGUUGAAAAAUUAGCGGAUGACCUGUGGCUGGGGGUGAAAGGCCAAUCAAACCGGGAGAUAGCUGGUUCUCCCCGAAAGCUAUUUAGGUAGCGCCUCGUGAAUUCAUCUCCGGGGGUAGAGCACUGUUUCGGCUAGGGGGCCAUCCCGGCUUACCAACCCGAUGCAAACUGCGAAUACCGGAGAAUGUUAUCACGGGAGACACACGGCGGGUGCUAACGUCCGUCGUGAAGAGGGAAACAACCCAGACCGCCAGCUAAGGUCCCAAAGUCAUGGUUAAGUGGGAAACGAUGUGGGAAGGCCCAGACAGCCAGGAUGUUGGCUUAGAAGCAGCCAUCAUUUAAAGAAAGCGUAAUAGCUCACUGGUCGAGUCGGCCUGCGCGGAAGAUGUAACGGGGCUAAACCAUGCACCGAAGCUGCGGCAGCGAACGUAUCACCCAAGACAACUUUACGGAGUUGACGAUUGACGGAGCGAAGCGACGUCAAAGCGUUCAUUAAAGUCGAGUUGGCUUAGGGAUACGUUCGUUGGGUAGGGGAGCGUUCUGUAAGCCUGUGAAGGUGUGUCGUGAGGCAUGCUGGAGGUAUCAGAAGUGCGAAUGCUGACAUAAGUAACGAUAAAGCGGGUGAAAAGCCCGCUCGCCGGAAGACCAAGGGUUCCUGUCCAACGUUAAUCGGGGCAGGGUGAGUCGACCCCUAAGGCGAGGCCGAAAGGCGUAGUCGAUGGGAAACGGGUUAAUAUUCCCGUACUUGGUGUUACUGCGAAGGGGGGACGGAGAAGGCUAUGUUGGCCGGGCGACGGUUGUCCCGGUUUAAGCGUGUAGGUGUGUGUUCCAGGUAAAUCCGGUUCACUUUAACACUGAGGCGUGACGACGAGGCACUACGGUGCUGAAGCAACAAAUGCCCUGCUUCCAGGAAAAGCCUCUAAGCAUCAGGUAACAUCAAAUCGUACCCCAAACCGACACAGGUGGUCAGGUAGAGAAUACCAAGGCGCUUGAGAGAACUCGGGUGAAGGAACUAGGCAAAAUGGUGCCGUAACUUCGGGAGAAGGCACGCUGACACGUAGGUGAAGUGAUUUACUCAUGGAGCUGAAGUCAGUCGAAGAUACCAGCUGGCUGCAACUGUUUAUUAAAAACACAGCACUGUGCAAACACGAAAGUGGACGUAUACGGUGUGACGCCUGCCCGGUGCCGGAAGGUUAAUUGAUGGGGUCAGCGCAAGCGAAGCUCCUGAUCGAAGCCCCGGUAAACGGCGGCCGUAACUAUAACGGUCCUAAGGUAGCGAAAUUCCUUGUCGGGUAAGUUCCGACCUGCACGAAUGGCGUAAUGAUGGCCAGGCUGUCUCCACCCGAGACUCAGUGAAAUUGAACUCGCUGUGAAGAUGCAGUGUACCCGCGGCAAGACGGAAAGACCCCGUGAACCUUUACUAUAGCUUGACACUGAACAUUGAGCCUUGAUGUGUAGGAUAGGUGGGAGGCUUUGAAGUGUGGACGCCAGUCUGCAUGGAGCCGACCUUGAAAUACCACCCUUUAAUGUUUGAUGUUCUAACGUGGACCCGUAAUCCGGGUUGCGGACAGUGUCUGGUGGGUAGUUUGACUGGGGCGGUCUCCUCCUAAAGAGUAACGGAGGAGCACGAAGGUUGGCUAAUCCUGGUCGGACAUCAGGAGGUUAGUGCAAUGGCAUAAGCCAGCUUGACUGCGAGCGUGACGGCGCGAGCAGGUGCGAAAGCAGGUCAUAGUGAUCCGGUGGUUCUGAAUGGAAGGGCCAUCGCUCAACGGAUAAAAGGUACUCCGGGGAUAACAGGCUGAUACCGCCCAAGAGUUCAUAUCGACGGCGGUGUUUGGCACCUCGAUGUCGGCUCAUCACAUCCUGGGGCUGAAGUAGGUCCCAAGGGUAUGGCUGUUCGCCAUUUAAAGUGGUACGCGAGCUGGGUUUAGAACGUCGUGAGACAGUUCGGUCCCUAUCUGCCGUGGGCGCUGGAGAACUGAGGGGGGCUGCUCCUAGUACGAGAGGACCGGAGUGGACGCAUCACUGGUGUUCGGGUUGUCAUGCCAAUGGCACUGCCCGGUAGCUAAAUGCGGAAGAGAUAAGUGCUGAAAGCAUCUAAGCACGAAACUUGCCCCGAGAUGAGUUCUCCCUGAGACUUAGAGUCUCCUGAAGGAACGUUGAAGACGACGACGUUGAUAGGCCGGGUGUGUAAGCGCAGCGAUGCGUUGAGCUAACCGGUACUAAUGAACCGUGAGGCUUAACCUUACAAC